GUAGGGAAUAUUGGGCAAUGGAUGCAAGUCUGACCCAGCCAUCCCGCGUGCCGGAAGAAGGCCCUCAGGGUUGUAAACGGCUUUUGACGGUGAAGAAUCGACAGGAUGCGUCCUGUUUUGACGGUAGCCGUUGAAUAAGCACCGGCUAACUCCGUGCCAGCAGCCGCGGUAACACGGAGGGUGCGAGCGUUGUCCGGAUUUAUUGGGUUUAAAGGGUGCGUAGGCUGGAAGGUCAGUCAGCGGUGAAAAGCUGUCGCUUAACGAUAGUCUUGCCGCAGAUACUUCCUUUCUUGGAUGAGGAGGAGGCCACUGGAACGGAUGGUGUAGCGGUGAAAUGCAUAGAUAUCAUCCAGAACACCGAUUGCGAAGGCAGGUGGCUGUACCUUAAUCGACGCUGAUGCACGAAAGCAUGGGGAGCAAACAGGAUUAGAAACCCGGGUAGUCC
RNAcentral lists this ribosomal RNA (445 nucleotides) under uncultured bacterium. RNAcentral describes it as "partial 16S ribosomal RNA". It matches the Rfam family "Bacterial small subunit ribosomal RNA", at positions 354 to 796 of the family's 1533-position model. The record is from RNAcentral.